GUGCUUGCUUCGGCAGCACAUAUACUAAAAUUGGAACGAUACAGAGAAGAUUAGCAUGUCCUGUGUGCAAGAAGGACAUGCAGGUUCAUGAAGCAGUCCAUAUUUUU
Molecule: small nuclear RNA, 107 nt
Organism: Capra hircus (goat)
Lineage: Eukaryota; Metazoa; Chordata; Mammalia; Artiodactyla; Bovidae
Source: Ensembl